AGUAAGUUAUUUAAAGCAUGAUAUUUCAUUUUUCAGUUGUUAGGCCAAUAUUUAGAAGUAUUUACCAAUUUCACAUUUCUCUAUUUUGAUACUUAACAAAAGCAUACUCUCUGAGACGAUUGAGGAAAGGAAAUAGAGUAUGUUAGAUAUCCUAGAUUUAAUUUCCUUCUUUCCUUGCAAGCAUGGUAAGGUAACAAGUUGUGAAACAGAAAUGGAUAUUUUUCAUUAUAGCACAUGUAUUUAUUAUGCCAUAUUUUAAAAUACCCAUGUUAAUAUCCUGCAUCCUACUAUGUCAGAAUAGGACUGUCAUUUUCCUUUGCCUUUGUCUCUGCAUCAUCGUGAUGUAGUUUCUUGAUUUUUUUGGUCGCUCAGUUAGGAGUGAUUUUAUUGCUAUAUGUGGUAAUUAUAUUCGCAGUGUACCUGUAUUUAGUGCUAUAUUUGGCCAUGUUGUAUUUAGCCAUUAAAGUUUUAAUUUUAAGGCCUUACUGUCAUUUUUUAAAAAAGAUUUAUUUGUUUAUUUGAG
This is a long non-coding RNA of Mustela erminea (ermine), 523 nucleotides long. RefSeq lists it as uncharacterized. The record is from RefSeq and is a predicted model, not a curated record. The transcript has 3 exons. NCBI's taxonomy places the organism in Eukaryota, Metazoa, Chordata, Mammalia, Carnivora, Mustelidae.